RNAcentral lists this long non-coding RNA (669 nucleotides) under Parus major (Great Tit). RNAcentral describes it as "lncRNA (ENSPMJG00000013205.1)". Lineage: Eukaryota; Metazoa; Chordata; Aves; Passeriformes; Paridae. The record is from RNAcentral.
UAUUUCUCUUAGUUUAUUCAUUUAACAAAAUGCUCCUUUCUGUGCCACAGAAGAGAGUGCCUAUAAGGCCUACACAGGUUCUUCAGUCUGCAAACCUCCCUUUGAGAACAUUUCUUUCAACUCACAUUGCUGGAGCUCCUAAAUAUCUUUCAAGUUUCAGAGUUCUUCAGCUCAAUGGAGCAAAACAGAGCAAUUCAUGGAGGAGACUGAUAAGAAGAACUUCAACUACAAGCUGUGAGCUCACCACAUGGGAGAGACUGAGAAUAAAGAUCCGUGUGCUGCUGACUGAUCGCUCAAUGUCUGCGAGUCACCAGCUGGCCCUUGCUGGGACAAAGCCAAGCAAAUUCAUAGUGGUGUCACUCAAGUUUCAAAAUCCAGCAUUACCAAUUGCCAUCAUUACAUACAGCCCCACAUGCCCAGAGCAAGACACUAAGGCUCAUAGCUGCAGCUUUGAGGAUGAAGAGCUUUUGUGUCAGUCUACACUAGAUAAUUGGACCCCUGUACAACUCAGAUCAAACCCUGACUUUUGGAAACUAAUACUGUUUUAACCAGGAGUCUUGGGGUUGAGGAGGCAUACAGGUAGGUGAUUACUAAGCACCAAAUCCGAAUAUGGUUUUAUUAUCCUAAUGAGACAAAGUAAUAAAGAAGAACAGAUGUCAGAUGUUGUCA